CGUAACAACAUCGCUAAAGAA
This 21-nucleotide unclassified non-coding RNA is filed under the name Dictyostelium discoideum. Lineage: Eukaryota; Evosea; Eumycetozoa; Dictyosteliales; Dictyosteliaceae. The record is from RNAcentral.